CUACAAGUUUUGAUAUCUGCCAAAUAAAAUUCUUUUAGAAAGUCGGCGAUUUAUUUUUCGAGAUUCUGCUUAACAGUUAUGGAUUUAAGUUCAAAUUGUGAUCUAAAACAACUGCGUGCUUGCUUGUUUGGUUCAAUGGUUAAAACACCACAAGAGUUUUUAAUGUUUGGCUGUGAUAAUUGUAAGAAUUAAAACCAAUAAUUGGUGACAGAAGAGCGGUUAUCCAAUUCACCACUAAGAAUUUCAAGAGGUUAGUAGGAAGUAUGGAGCCUACUAAAACUCGUAUAGGGAAACUCUUGGAAAUUGACAAGUUGGUACCCGGAAUUUAUGCACUCACCAUAAAAGAUGCAUUGUCAAAUGAAUAUUUAAAAACUUAUUGAAGAACGCUAUCGCAACUAUCCAACGA
This is a long non-coding RNA of Teleopsis dalmanni, 406 nucleotides long. RefSeq lists it as uncharacterized. The record is from RefSeq and is a predicted model, not a curated record. NCBI's taxonomy places the organism in Eukaryota, Metazoa, Arthropoda, Insecta, Diptera, Diopsidae. The transcript is spliced from 3 exons.